RNAcentral lists this ribosomal RNA (326 nucleotides) under uncultured prokaryote. RNAcentral describes it as "bacterial SSU rRNA". It matches the Rfam family "Bacterial small subunit ribosomal RNA", at positions 26 to 352 of the family's 1533-position model. The record is from RNAcentral.
AGAUUGAACGCUGGCGGCGUGCCUAACACAUGCAAGUCGAGCGGUAGCAGGUGUAGCAAUACAUGCUGACGAGCGGCGAACGGGUGAGUAAUGCUUCGGAAUCUACCCACGGGUGGGGAAUAACCAACCGAAAGGUUGGCUAAUACCGCAUAAGUCCUACGGGGGAAAGCGGGGGAUCGAAAGACCUCGCGCCGGUGGAUGAGCCGAAGCCGGAUUAGCUAGUUGGUAGGGUAAUGGCGCACCAAGGCGACGAUGGGUAGCCGGCCUGAGAGGGUGAACGGCCACACUGGGACUGAGACACGGCCCAGACUCCUACGGGAGGCAGC